AACGCACAUAAUAUAAUAUAUUAAACACGGAGAAAAAAAAAAUUCGAAAACACACGGGUCACACUAUGUACAUGUAAUAAUAACAUAAACAACACAAUGGUGCUGCAGAGGUCUGCCCCGUCGCUGCAGUUUCUGCUGCACCAAUACGCACGUAAUGAUAAACAAACGCAAAAAAACGCACGCGACCUCAGAUUACUAAAGAAAUAAUCACCGGUCGAAACCAUUCCGGCGGAAGGCAAUUGGACGAAAAAAAAAACGAGCGUAAAAAACGUCAAACGCGAUAAUGCGUUUCGUGCACAGCGUUACACACACGUGGGGCAAAUACUGCGCGUAACUGUCGCCACCGAUGUCGUAGCAACACACAAACAUACGCACACAAACCGUCACGUGAAACGUGAACUAAGGUUUUUAAACGCGUACGAUUGAAAUUUUUUUGUUUUCACCCAAAUCGUUUACCUCACGGCAAAUAACGAUACGGACGAAUAAAAAAAUAUAAAUCGUACGCACCACCACCGACGAGACAAGUGACGUCGUGUGAGCGUAUGAAUUCGCGAACGAUUAUUACUGUGAUCGAUACUGCGACACGGCGGAGUUCCGGCAGUGCCCGCGCCGCAUACGACGCGUUCACGACACACGCACACGUCUGUCGUUUUUUACUAAUGUCCCUCCGGCCUUACAACUCGUGCUUAAGACUUGGAAACACGUGUCAAGAUUACAAAGGGCUGCGUUUCCACCGGAUGUGCAAGGUUUCUACUAAAGAUUUUUUUAGUUCUCAUCGAAAGUUUUCAUCAUCGGUCACCAGUGCGCAAAAUAUUAAUACAAUGUUAUAAUAAUUAUUUAAGACAGACAUAGUCGUUACUAUAAUAUUAUGAUUCGAAUUUAACGAAUCUGUUCCGUUUAGCGAUUUUAUUAGCCUGCACAACGUUACUGACUACAGUGCCCAGAACGAUUAGCAACAGUUAGUAAUGCGUCGGUUGAAUUACGCGUCAUAAAAAUAUUACGAAACCUAUUUCCUUUGUCGAGGAUAUACCUGUCACGCGAGGAUUAAUCAUAUUCGUAGACCUACCAGUUAUAGAAAAUACACAAAAACCAAUACAACGCGGAAAAUAAUUUGAGCUCAGGUGGCUAUGAAAAAAUACAUUUUGAAAUAUUUUAUCCAAUAAACAUUUAAUAAAAUUUGUUAUUUUCUAAUAUAAUAAAACUAAUUUUUUUUUUAAUUUGUAUAAUACGUAACUAUUAUAUUAUAAUAUCUAUUAUAAUAUAUUUGUUACAGUUUAUUGAAUUAUGUUAAAAGUUUUAAAUAUAAAUUGUAAAAUAAUCAAAUACAUUAUAUUUAAAACAA
Aphis gossypii (cotton aphid) is the source of this 1342-nucleotide long non-coding RNA. RefSeq lists it as uncharacterized. The transcript is spliced from 2 exons. NCBI's taxonomy places the organism in Eukaryota, Metazoa, Arthropoda, Insecta, Hemiptera, Aphididae. The record is from RefSeq and is a predicted model, not a curated record.